Molecule: ribosomal RNA, 364 nt
Filed under: Hylomantis granulosa (granular leaf frog)
Lineage: Eukaryota; Metazoa; Chordata; Amphibia; Anura; Hylidae
Description: partial 16S ribosomal RNA
Rfam family: Bacterial large subunit ribosomal RNA
Source: RNAcentral
GUAUGAAUGGCAUCACGAAGGUUAAACUGUCUCCUUUUUCUAAUCAGUGAAACUAAUCUUUCCGUGAAGAAGCGGGAAUAAUUUUAUAAGACGAGAAGACCCUAUGGAGCUUUAAACUAUCAGCAACUAUCUUAAUUUUACCACAACAAUAAAACUUAUAUUGAUAGUCUGACUGCUAGUUUUCGGUUGGGGUGACCGCGGAGUAUAACUUAACCUCCACGAUGAAUGGGCCCGCUCCUAAACAAAGAGUUACAAUUCUAUGUAUCAAAAAAUUGACGCUAUUGACCCAAUACUUUGAUCAACGAACCAAGUUACCCUAGGGAUAACAGCGCAAUCCAUCUCAAGAGUUCAUAUCGACAAAUGG